RNAcentral lists this ribosomal RNA (506 nucleotides) under uncultured bacterium. Its description in RNAcentral is "partial 16S ribosomal RNA". It matches the Rfam family "Bacterial small subunit ribosomal RNA", at positions 28 to 523 of the family's 1533-position model. The record is from RNAcentral.
GAUGAACGCUAGCUACAGGCUUAACACAUGCAAGUCGAGGGGUAACAAGAGAAAAGCUUGCUUUUCUUGUUGACGACCGGCGCACGGGUGAGUAACGCGUAUCCAACCUGCCUAUAACUAGGGAAUAACCUUGCGAAAGUAAGACUAAUACCCUAUGAUUUCCUUUGAUGACAUCAGAUUAGGAAUAAAGAUUUAUCGGUUAUAGAUGGGGAUGCGUCUGAUUAGCUUGUUGGCGGGGUAACGGCCCACCAAGGCAACGAUCAGUAGGGGUUCUGAGAUGAAGGUCCCCAACAUUGGAACUGCGACACGGUCCAAACUCCUACGGGAGGCAGCAGUGAGGAAUAUUGGUCCAUGGGCGGAAGCCUGAACCAGCCAAGUAGCGUGCAGGAUGACGGCCCUAUGGGUUGUAAACUGCUUUUAUACAGGAAUAAAGUUAGCCACGUGUGGUUAUUUGUAGGUACUGUAUGAAUAAGGACCGGCUAAUUCCGUGCCAGCCGCCGCCGUAA